This 59-nucleotide transfer RNA is filed under the name Alexandrium tamarense. Its description in RNAcentral is "partial Selenocysteine transfer RNA". Lineage: Eukaryota; Dinophyceae; Gonyaulacales; Pyrocystaceae. The record is from RNAcentral.
CCUAUCGCCCUGUCCUCCCGCAUCCAGAAGUACCUCGAGCACGUCAUGGAGACGGAGAG